GGGAUAAUAGUUAACUAUAAUAUUUGGUUUGCAUCCAAAAGGUGUUGCUAUCAACUUAUCUCA
Molecule: transfer RNA, 63 nt
Filed under: Thermobia domestica (firebrat)
Lineage: Eukaryota; Metazoa; Arthropoda; Insecta; Zygentoma; Lepismatidae
Description: tRNA-Ala
Source: RNAcentral